GCGCCGUUGCGUUUCAUGAACACUACUUCACCUUUCCUCCGCCAAGGAACGCCUUGAAAAUGCGCCCUCGACUUAAGUGAAGUGUAUCGACCGAGAAAAGUGUCUGAUGUCGAGACUAUUCUUCAAUGUGCUUAUUAAAAGUCCCAUUAUUUAAGACAAAUAUGUGUUUCAGUUCAUUCGUCUUCCUAAUCAAACAACUACACGGCGCAAUGCACAACUUUAGCUCGGCAACGCUGCCACUGUGAGCAUUCGACUGAUAGAGCAAGCGGGAGCUGUGUUUGAGGUCUGGCAACAAUCGCAUCCCAACAGCUGAGAGCAUGGCGCAUGGCUGAGAACCAAGAUAAUUUGCGCCGGCAUUUGUCCGCUGCUCUUUGUUUCCUAGUGUUUCAUUGGUGACUGACGCUGCGGUUCUUAAUCGAGGUUAUGAUGGGUGAUUUUGUCCUUGUGCGUAUGGUGACCGAGCCUGAAUGACUUCUGAGGCCACAGAUGGUAUGGACGAUGGGCAGCUUUGUUUACCUUCAAGACCGAGUGGUGCUGUGAGUUUGCUGAAAGCAACAACAGGACAGAAAAUAUGGGAUGUGGGCCUUGGAAGGACCAGCUGAUGAAAAAAUCAACGCCUGUGCUGCACAGUAAGGCUUCUGGUAGACCUGAAAGCAUCGAUAGAUAUGGUGCCUGCCUGUUGGAAUUGCACCAGCUCGCUUCCCUGAAAGAAGCUAGGUGCUGAAGAAGUACUUGACUAACCUACCCG
RNAcentral lists this long non-coding RNA (748 nucleotides) under Dermacentor andersoni. Its description in RNAcentral is "uncharacterized LOC126521938". The record is from RNAcentral. Lineage: Eukaryota; Metazoa; Arthropoda; Arachnida; Ixodida; Ixodidae.